RNAcentral lists this transfer RNA (61 nucleotides) under bovine gut metagenome. It matches the Rfam family "tRNA", at positions 6 to 65 of the family's 71-position model. Rfam says of the family: Transfer RNA (tRNA) molecules are approximately 80 nucleotides in length. Their secondary structure includes four short double-helical elements and three loops (D, anti-codon, and T loops). The record is from RNAcentral. RNAcentral also lists the same sequence under 1 other name.
GAUAGCUCAAUGGUAGAGCAUCCGGCUGUUAACCGGAGGGUUGUAGGUUCGAGCCCUACUC